Long non-coding RNA from Acanthochromis polyacanthus (spiny chromis), 1623 nucleotides. RefSeq lists it as uncharacterized. The transcript has 2 exons. The record is from RefSeq and is a predicted model, not a curated record. Lineage: Eukaryota; Metazoa; Chordata; Actinopteri; Pomacentridae.
CUCACUGGAACCAAGAAUAAAUAAAGACAUUUAUCAGAUGCAGGACAACCAUGUCUAGCUGACAGUAAUAUUAUUAUUCUGGUGGAGUACAACACUUUACCCAACAACAGAGAACUCACAGAACCUGAAUAAUAAUAAUAAUGAUGAUAUCCUUUACUCCUAUAGAGCUUUUCUAAACCACAGUUCUAAAAGUGCUUUACAGACAAUAUAAGAAGUAAACAACAUUAUUCACAGGGAAUGUAAAAAAAAAAGAAGCAUGAAGCAUAUAUAAAAUAUAAUAAAUAAAUACAUGCAGACAUACACAGAAAUACACAUAAAUAUACAUAAACAUACAAGUCAUCCACUGUUAAAUUAAUUACAGUUUGUACAGAUGAUUUCAAAGCUUUUUAAACUGAGGAACUGACGGCUGGUUGGAUGUUCAGCUGGAGUUCAUUUAAGAGUUUCAUUUCAAGACAAUGCAACAAAAAAAAAUUUACACUUUAAUAAUAAAAUAUUCUUUAAAGGACAAACUCUCUUAUUAAACUGGAUAAAUGGGAAACAGUUCUGCAGUGAUUCUGAGUUCAUGAUUUAUCAAAACUCAAACAAGACAAUGAAAAAGCUUCUUAAUGACACGACACACGCGUCUAUUAAUUUUAAUUAAUCCACCUCCUAAGAUGAAGAAACACUUCCAGAUGAAUCUAUACUCCAGCCUGAAUUCUGUUUGUCCCUUUAACUAAACAGCUGAUACAGAAGGUUUUAAGUUCCACCCACAAAACAUAAUGAGAUUCAUCAUUUAUUAAACUAAAGCAGCAUCAGCACGCUGUGGUUUCUGAUUCUGAUGGAAUAAUAAAUGAAGAUGAAUGUGACAAAUGAACUGAACCAGCAGUCUGCUUUAGUUAACCUCUAUUAGAUUCCACCAUCAGACCAGGAUGGGUUCCUCUGCAGUCACUUCACUUUCUAUGUAAACGUAGCUUCAGAGUUUCUACCUGGUGUAUCGGAGCUGUUCAUAUUUACUUAGAAAAGGGUCAGUUUGUCCUCCAUGAAACGUCCGGCUGAAGGAGAGACGGUAUUUAUGUUCUAGUCAUAAUGAAGGUUCUGCUGCUCGGCUCCUUGGAUCUCAGUUUGUGUUCUUUCCUGGUCUGUUCUGUCUUUUAAUCAACCUGUUUUAGCAGUGUGCAAACAUGCACUGAUUUAAGCAUCAGCUGAUUCUAGUUCUGAAUCUCUGCAGAAAUAAACUCACACUGGACGGAAGCCUCAGCACUGAGGCCGCUGACAUCUUCUGGUCCAAGAUGAUCUACAGUUUACAUCACUGCAGGGACACGACUCAGCACCUGGGUUCAUGUUCCUCAGAGUUCUGAAUGUUUAGGUCCUGGUGCAGUUUGAUGACCCACUCCUGAUACUCCUGCUUCUGGAUGCCAGUCACCUGCUUCAGCUCGCUGGCCCACUUGUUCUCCAGGACCUGUUGGAGGAGAUACUGAGGACCUUUAAUACGACAGAGAACAGUUUUUCAUCGGCAGGCUAGGACGGUCUGGAAACUUUAGGUGGAAAAAUGACCGACUGAAUGUUAGAAGGAGAAGUAUCUUUAGCUCUGCACUGGGAUCAGGGAACACCUGCUUUCUGAUAAAUAAUGUUUUUGAAACUCCA